GUCUAUGGCCAUACUACCCUGAGCGAGCCUGAUCUUGUCUGAUCUCAGCAGCUAAUCAGGAUCGGGCCUGGUUAGUACUUGGGUGGGAAAAAUAAACCAGACAAAACAAAAAGACUAGGCCUGUGAGUUCCAGGCCAUCCUGGUCU
This is a non-coding RNA of Mesocricetus auratus (golden hamster), 146 nucleotides long. NCBI's taxonomy places the organism in Eukaryota, Metazoa, Chordata, Mammalia, Rodentia, Cricetidae. The record is from Rfam.